GAAACGACUGCUAAGACUGGAUAGGAGACAAGAAGGCAUCUUCUUGUUUUUAAAAGACCUAGCAAUAGGUAUGCUUAGGGAGGAGCUUGCGUCACAUUAGUUAGUUGGUGGGGUAAAGGCCUACCAAGACUAUGAUGUGUAGCCGGGCUGAGAGGUUGAACGGCCACAUUGGGACUGAGACACGGCCCAAACUCCUACGGGAGGCAGCAGUAGGGAAUUUUCGGCAAUGGAGGAAACUCUGACCGAGCAACGCCGCGUGAACGAUGAAGUAUUUCGGUACGUAAAGUUCUUUUAUUAGGGAAGAAUAAAUGAUGGAAAAAUCAUUCUGACGGUACCUAAUGAAUAAGCCCCGGCUAACUAUGUGCCAGCAGCCGCGGUAAUACAUAGGGGGCAAGCGUUAUCCGGAAUUAUUGGGCGUAAGGGUGCGUAGGCGGUUAAAUAAGUUUAUGGUCUAAGUGCAAUGCUCAACAUUGUGAUGCUAUAAAAACUGUUUAGCUAGAGUAAGAUAGAGGCAAGUGGAAUUCCAUGUGUAGUGGUAAAAUGCGUAAAUAUAUGGAGGAACACCAGUAGCGAAGGCGGCUUGCUGGGUCUUUACUGACGCUGAGGCACGAAAGCGUGGGGAGCAAACAGGAUUAGAUACCCUGGUAGUCCACGCCGUAAACGAUGAGUACUAAACGUUGGGUAAAACCAGUGUUGAAGUUAACACAUUAAGUACUCCGCCUGAGUAGUACGUACGCAAGUAUGAAACUUAAAGGAAUUGACGGGACUCCGCACAAGCGGUGGAUCAUGUUGUUUAAUUCGAAGGUACCCGAAAAACCUCACCAGGUCUUGACAUGCUUCUGCAAAGCUGUAGAAACACAGUGGAGGUUAUCAGUUGCACAGGUGGUGCAUGGUUGUCGUCAGCUCGUGUCGUGAGAUGUUGGGUUAAGUCCCGCAACGAGCGCAACCCUUAUUGUUAGUUGCCAGCACGUAAUGGUGGGGACUUUAGCAAGACUGCCAGUGAUAAAUUGGAGGAAGGUGGGGACGACGUCAAAUCACCAUGCCCCUUAUGACCUGGGCUACAAACGUGAUACAAUGGCUGUUACAAAGGGUAGCUGAAGCGCAAGUUUUUGGCGAAUCUCAAAAAAACAGUCUCAGUUCGGAUUGAAGUCUGCAACUCGACUUCAUGAAGUUGGAAUCGCUAGUAAUCGCGAAUCAGCAUGUCGCGGUGAAUACGUUCUCGGGGUUUGUACACACCGCCCGUCA
This 1245-nucleotide ribosomal RNA is filed under the name Mexican Huanglongbing disease-associated phytoplasma. RNAcentral's name for it is "bacterial SSU rRNA". It matches the Rfam family "Bacterial small subunit ribosomal RNA", at positions 153 to 1399 of the family's 1533-position model. Lineage: Bacteria; Bacillati; Mycoplasmatota; Mollicutes; Acholeplasmatales; Acholeplasmataceae. The record is from RNAcentral.